CCUGUCACCCCCUGAAGGCAAUCAUUCUACACACUGUCAUAAAACAUAGCUUCGCCAUGAACUUAAUGCCAAAGGCCACAGGCAGUAACACAAACAUACACAUGCUCUGAUAAACAUGCAUACAUAUACAAAGAUACUCACUGCCAGACACACACUCUCAGGCACACACAGGUAGACAAUGCAACAACGUAUACAAAGACUAGUUCUCUAUAUCCAGUACUGCAAGCCCGCCCUUCAAUAUAUCUACAGCUUCUUAUACACACACAAGUCAAC
Non-coding RNA from Pelobates cultripes (western spadefoot toad), 273 nucleotides. The record is from the annotation of a GenBank genome assembly. NCBI's taxonomy places the organism in Eukaryota, Metazoa, Chordata, Amphibia, Anura, Pelobatidae.